GCGUGCUGCAGAAGGGGCACAUAUACACGUGAGGACAGAGCACCCAGUGGCUCCUUUGGAAAUCCACUUCCACGCUCACCCCCAUUUUCAAUAUUGUGGAAAAUGCCAGCUAACAUCUUAACCUCACAUCUGUUUACAACAAAAAUUCAAACUUAAACUUCCGUAAUGGGAAUGUUUGUGAAACACAUGAAGAAACCAAAGACAAGAAAAACAGGAAGAAACCAGAAGUUACAUCAUUCAUGAAGGGUGAAAAUGUGAUGAACUUUUAUUGCCCCAAAGCACUAUAGGUCUCACUGUCGCCAAGGCUGGAGUGCAGUGGUGCCAUCACAGCUCACUGCAGCUUUGACCUCUGAGGCUCAGAAACAGGUUUCACCAUGUUGCCUAGGCUGAUCUCAAACUCCUGGGCUCAAGCGAGCCACCAGUCUCAGCCUCCUGAAGUGUUGGGAUUACAGGUAUGAGCCACCACUCUCAGCCUGCAGAAACUUUUUGCUAAAUCUCAGUCAGAGGAAAUAACCGAGUUCAAAUCCUAGUUUGGCUACUUUCGAGCUGUGUGAUUUUGGCUGAAUUAUUCACCCUUACAGUGUCUGUCUCAGUUUUCUCAUCUGUAAAAUGGGUCUAAGGAUUCCUUCAUAGGAUUAUGAGGAUUUAAUGAGAAAAAUGGAUAGCAAGGCCUAAAAGAGGAACUGGGAUAUAAUGAGGGCUUUAUAAUUGGUAGCAUUUUAUAUUUUUUUCUUUGGGACAAAGUCUCAUUCUGUCAUCCUAGCUGGAGUGCAGUGGCAUGAUUUUGGCUAACUGCAGCCUUGACCUCCCAGGGGGUCCUCCCACCUCAGCCUCUUGAGUAGCUGGGACCCACCAUCGUGCCCAGCUAAUAUUUGUAUCUUUUAUAAAGACACAGUUUUGCCAUG
Molecule: long non-coding RNA, 905 nt
Organism: Callithrix jacchus (white-tufted-ear marmoset)
Lineage: Eukaryota; Metazoa; Chordata; Mammalia; Primates; Cebidae
Source: RefSeq, a predicted model, not a curated record